This 253-nucleotide ribosomal RNA is filed under the name uncultured bacterium. RNAcentral's name for it is "partial 16S ribosomal RNA". It matches the Rfam family "Bacterial small subunit ribosomal RNA", at positions 524 to 776 of the family's 1533-position model. The record is from RNAcentral.
UACGGAGGAUGCGAGCGUUAUCCGGAUUUAUUGGGUUUAAAGGGAGCGUAGGCGGGAAAUUAAGUUAAGUGUGAAAGCCUUGGGCUUAACCCAAGAAAUGCACUUGAUACUGGUUUUCUAGAGUGUAGGAGAGGUAAGUGGAAUUCCUAGUGUAGCGGUAAAAUGCGUAGAGAUUAGGAGGAACAUCAGAGGCGAAGGCGGCUUACUGGACUAUAACUGACGCUGAGGCUCGAAAGCGUGGGGAGCAAACAGG